UAAGAUGUUCGUUAAGGGUGCCCCCGAGGGGGUGAUCGACCGCUGCAACUACGUGAGGGUGGGGACGACGCGCGUCCCACUGACGCCGGCGGUGAAGGAGAAGAUCCUGGCGGUCAUCAAAGAGUGGGGGACGGGGAGGGACACCCUGCGCUGCCUGGCUUUGGCCACCCGGGACACCCCCCCAAAGAAGGAGGACAUGAUGCUGGAGGACUCCACCAAAUUCGCCGAGUAUGAGACCGACCUGACCUUCGUGGGUUGCGUUGGGAUGUUGGACCCACCCCGUAAAGAAGUGAUGGGUUCCAUCCGCCUUUGCCGAGACGCCGGGAUUCGGGUCAUUAUGAUCACGGGGGAUAACAAAGGGACGGCCAUCGCCAUCUGCCGUCGCAUCGGGAUCUUCACGGAGGACGAAGAGGUUUCGGGGAGGGCGUACACGGGGAGGGAAUUCGACGACCUCCCCCCAGCCGAGCAGAGGGAGGCUUGCCGUCGGGCCUGUUGCUUCGCCCGGGUCGAACCGACCCACAAGUCCAAGAUCGUCGAGUUCCUGCAGUCCUUCGACGAGAUCACCGCCAUGACGGGCGACGGGGUGAACGACGCCCCGGCCCUAAAGAAGGCCGAGAUCGGUAUCGCUAUGGGUUCCGGCACCGCCGUGGCCAAAACAGCCUCGGAAAUGGUGUUGGCCGACGAUAACUUCUCCACCAUCGUGGCGGCGGUGGAAGAGGGCCGCGCCAUCUACAACAACAUGAAGCAGUUCAUCCGAUACCUCAUCUCCUCCAACGUCGGCGAGGUGGUCUGCAUCUUCCUGACGGCGGCCCUGGGGCUGCCGGAGGCUCUGAUCCCGGUUCAGCUGCUGUGGGUCAAUCUGGUGACGGACGGCCUCCCGGCCACGGCUUUGGGGUUCAACCCCCCCGAUUUGGAUAUUAUGGACAAACCCCCCCGCAGCCCCAAAGAGCCCCUCAUCAGCGGGUGGCUCUUCUUCCGCUAUCUGGCCAUAGGAGGGUACGUCGGGGCGGCCACGGUGGGCGCAGCCGCGUGGUGGUUCCUUUACGCUGAGGACGGCCCCAGUCUGACCUACCACCAACUGACGCACUUCAUGCAGUGCACGCACCACAACGCUGAGUUCGAGGGGGUCGACUGCGACAUCUUCGAGUCCCCCGUGCCCAUGACCAUGGCGCUGUCCGUCCUCGUCACCAUCGAGAUGUGCAACGCCCUCAACAGCCUAUCGGAGAACCAAUCGCUGCUGCGGAUGCCGCCGUGGGUGAACAUUUGGCUCGUGGGCUCCAUCUGCCUCUCCAUGUCGCUGCACUUCGUCAUCCUCUACGUCGACCCCCUGCCCAUGAUCUUUAAGCUGACCCACCUGGACCUGGCCCAUUGGUUGGUGGUGCUGCGCAUUUCCUUCCCCGUUAUCCUAUUGGAUGAGGCGCUGAAAUUCGUCGCCCGGAAUUACCUGGAGGCGUAACUCCGCCUCCCUCCGCGCCGGGACAUCAGCCGACGCUGAGGACCUCCGGAAGAAGCGGAAGUGACCCCACAGCCCCCCGCUAUGGGGCAGCCCCACACCCCG
This 1558-nucleotide unclassified non-coding RNA is filed under the name Hevea brasiliensis (rubber tree). The record is from RNAcentral. Lineage: Eukaryota; Viridiplantae; Streptophyta; Magnoliopsida; Malpighiales; Euphorbiaceae.